This 1019-nucleotide long non-coding RNA is filed under the name Neogobius melanostomus (round goby). Its description in RNAcentral is "lncRNA (ENSNMLG00000011502.1)". Lineage: Eukaryota; Metazoa; Chordata; Actinopteri; Gobiiformes; Gobiidae. The record is from RNAcentral.
UUUCAGGAUCAGGAGGACGAAGGAAACGGGAAUAACAAACAUGUGCCCUCCUGUCCACAGGGGCUCUCCUCAGAGCAGCCCGUCGUCCUCGGUCCCGAACUCUCCUGCUGGGGGCCACAUUCGGCCCUCGAGCCUGAUGGUUUGGGACAUAAGCUUCAGCGUCAGUAUCGUUCACCGAGGAGGAAGUCGGCGGGAAACAUCCCUCUGUCACCGCUGGCUCGCACGCCGUCUCCGCCCCCUCCACCGGCGUCGCCUCAGCGCUCGCCAUCGCCACUGUCUGCCAUCGCUCCGUUUCCGGUAAAGCUGCACUCGUCGCCGCCGUUGCCGCGGCAGGUUUCUCGGCCGAAGAGCGGCGAGCCUCGCUCUCCUCUGCUGAAGAGAGUGCAGUCUGCAGAGAAACUGUGUGUGAGCGCCCCCAGCGGCUCCGGAGGAGGAACUGCAGCUGCAGGAAGGAAACACAGUGUGGACGUCGGCCACGGCCUCCAGGACGCGGCGCCGGACGCGGGACGUGUGUCUCAGUCCAAACUCAAGGACAAACUGUCCACGAUCCGGCAGGACCGAGCCGAGCGCCGCGAGUCGCUGCAGAAACAGGACGCCAUCCGCGAGGUCGACUCCUCCGAGGACGAAGACGAGGACGUCCCCUCGGAGACGGUCCAGACCGGCCGCUGCGGCGUCCUGCCGUCCCUCUGCCUGUCCCCGCAGCUCGCCACCUUCAGCCACGGCGUCUUCUCCAAACCCGGCAGCGCCUUCACACCGUGAGACGCUUCUGCCAAAGCAAACACGGAAACACGACGGAGACACAGGACACUUCACCAAACCACGGCCGCCAGAACCCGAGCACAGAGCCAGAGGGGACGAGUGUGGGCCCAACGACGAGUGUGGACCCAACGACACUUCACCAAACCACGGCCGCCACAAACAGACCACAGAGCCACACGGGGCGAGUGUGGGCCCAACGACAGAUUCAUCAGACCACUGCCUCCAAAGACUCCUCCUACCUACGCAAUAACUACCACUAA